UUUUCCAAGAGAUAACUUCACCAAGAUGUCCAGUGAUAGGCAAAGGUCCGAUGAUGAGAGCCCCAGCACCAGCAGUGGCAGUUCAGAUGCGGACCAGCGAGACCCAGCCGCUCCAGAGCCUGAAGAACAAGAGGAAAGAAAACCUUCUGCCACCCAGCAGAAGAAAAACACCAAACUCUCUAGCAAAACCACUGCUAAGUUAUCCACUAGUGCUAAAAGAAUUCAGAAGGAGCUAGCUGAAAUAACCCUUGAUCCUCCUCCUAAUUGCAGAUUGAAGUUUAUAAUUGCUGAGAAGGAAAUAAAAGAGGUGUGGUGGAAAGGUCUUCCAGAACCAGAGGC
RNAcentral lists this small RNA (339 nucleotides) under Pongo abelii (Sumatran orangutan). RNAcentral's name for it is "processed transcript". The record is from RNAcentral. Lineage: Eukaryota; Metazoa; Chordata; Mammalia; Primates; Hominidae.